GGACCUCCCUCUCUCUCUUCACGGACUUGUCUCCUAUUCUCUCUCUCUUCCCGGACCUCCCUCUCUCUCUUCGCGGACCUCCCUGACACGAUGCAGCAGUAGCAAUGGACGCGAUGGCAGCGAUGCAGCACCAUUGAAGCCCUUGGGCUUGGGCAUCGCCUCUCUCUCUUUAUCAUCCAUUGAAGCCCUCUCAGCCCACACAGAGGGAUGGACACGUCUCUCUGUGUAGCUGCAGCAGCAGUAGCGCAUCCCUCUCUCUUUGUCUAUAUGCAGCCAUUGAAGCCCCUGAGCUUGGGCAUCUCUCUUUUUUUAGUAACUAUUGAAGCCCUCUGAGCCCACACAGAAAUAGAAACCCUCUUGCCCCUCCCCAUUAGCAACUAUUGAAGCCCUCUCGCUCGCUCAGAAAAACCCUGGCUGGCCUCCCAACUGUAGCCCACCCCAUCUCUAAAGAUUGAUUUUAUUCUAGGCAAGAACCCUCGAAAGAUGAGCUAUAUUGUGGGUUUCGAAAACCACAACCCAAAACAUGUACACCAUAGAACAACUUCAAUCCCUAAGAACAAGAUCAAGUACUCUUACAAGGGUGGGUGGAAAUGGGGAGGGACACGCCCAAACCUAACCCAAACACACGUGUGGGGGCAAUGGUGCCAGGACCCGACAAGCACGAUGGUUUCAAAGAUGUAAGAGGAAACUACAAUGACACCAAGCCCACUCUCGCUGGCAAUGCUACUUAAGUGGCUGCUUUGGUUGCUCUCUCCUGUGAGUCACAUUCCAUCGACAACAAUAUCAUCUUCUCUGCAGUGCCACCCAUGUUCCCUACUCCCCCGCCCUCUCUAGCUCCUUGGAACCUUGAGACAGAGAUAGAGAGAGAGAUAUAGAGGGAGAGAGCCACCACCAUCCAUUUUAGGAUGGCGGUGUUUACUUGUUCUUAAGCUAGAAAGAGAGGGGCGCUAGAGAAUGGGGAGAGGUUACAUGGGGUCUCUGAUGUUGGAGGUUUGCUUGCACUUAAUCUUUAUUGUAUUCAUAUUUUGUAGGUACAAUAUUCUUGAUUGUUUCGCACUCUCUAUGUGCUCUGUGUGACAUAUAGAGUGAUACUGUGUAUUUGCUAUUACUUUUUGACUCCCCAAAGAGGGAUGCUAAUGAUAAAAGAAUUAUGAAAUUUGUGCUCC
Molecule: long non-coding RNA, 1166 nt
Organism: Amborella trichopoda
Lineage: Eukaryota; Viridiplantae; Streptophyta; Magnoliopsida; Amborellales; Amborellaceae
Source: RefSeq, a predicted model, not a curated record